CAAUACGAGCGGCGAACGGGUGAGUAACGCGUGAACAAUCUGCCUUAAAGUGGGGGAUAACCAUUCCAACGGAUGGCUAAUACCGCAUAGGGUAUGGGAGGGGCAUCCCUUCUUUACGAAAGCAUUUAUGCGCUUUAGGAUGAGUUCGCGUCCCAUUAGCUAGUUGGCGGGGUAACGGCCCACCAAGGCGACGAUGGGUAGCCGGCCUGAGAGGGUGUCCGGCCACAUUGGGACUGAGAUACGGCCCAGACUCCUACGGGAGGCAGCAGUAGGGAAUUUUGCGCAAUGGGGGAAACCCUGACGCAGCAACGCCAUGUGUGGGAUGAAGCAUUUCGGUGUGUAAACCACUGUCGGCAGGGAAUAAAGCCCGCAUUUAUGCGGGGGUGAAUGUACCUGCAAAGGAAGCCCCGGCUAACUUCGUGCCAGCAGCCGCGGUAAUACGAGGGGGGCAAGUGUUGUUCGGAAUUACUGGGCGUAAAGGGAGCGUAGGCGGGCUCUUAAGUUGGAUGUUUAAAACCGGGGCCUAACCCCGGCGUGGCAUCCAAAACUGGGAGUCUUGAAUGGGACAGAGGCCAGUGGAAUUAGAGGUGUAGCGGUGGAAUGCGUAGAUAUCUCUAAGAACACCAGUUGCGAAGGCGGCUGGCUGGGUCCACAUUGACGCUGAGGCUCGAAAGCGUGGGGAGCAAACAGGAUUAGAUACCCUGGUAGUCCACGCCGUAAACGAUGAACACUAGGUUUUGACUCCNUCAACGGGUCAGAGCCGCAGCUAACGCGUUAAGUGUUCCGCCUGGGGAAUACGGUCGCAAGACUGAAACUC
Molecule: ribosomal RNA, 817 nt
Filed under: uncultured Fibrobacterota bacterium
Lineage: Bacteria; Pseudomonadati; Fibrobacterota
Description: bacterial SSU rRNA
Rfam family: Bacterial small subunit ribosomal RNA
Source: RNAcentral